RNAcentral lists this ribosomal RNA (849 nucleotides) under Dasia olivacea. RNAcentral's name for it is "partial 16S ribosomal RNA". It matches the Rfam family "Bacterial large subunit ribosomal RNA", at positions 1538 to 2620 of the family's 2925-position model. The record is from RNAcentral. Lineage: Eukaryota; Metazoa; Chordata; Lepidosauria; Squamata; Scincidae.
AAAACAAAAGCGUCACAGCAAAAAGACCAAAAAUCCCACGGCGCCUUUCAACAUCCUAGAAAAACACUGAGCCACACUAUAAAUAUAGACGAACUAAUGUUAAAACUAGUAACAAGAAACUUUCUCCCAGCACCUCCGUGACCCAGAAAUAGACACCCUACUGGACAUUAACAGACCAAAAAAGGUACGACCCCCCCCGUCCUAUCAACUGUCAAACCAACACUGGCGUGCUAAAAAGACAGAUUAAAAGUCAUAUAAGGAACUCAGCAAAAUUUGUCUCAACUGUUUACCAAAAACAUAGCCUUUAGCCAAACAAGUAUUAAAGGUCCCGCCUGCCCAGUGAAAUUUUUUAACGGCCGCGGUAUUCUAACCGUGCAAAGGUAGCGUAAUCACUUGUCUUCUAAAUAAAGACCAGUAUGAACGGCUAAAUGAAGACAAACCUGUCUCUUAUGAUCAAUCAGUGAAACUGAUCUUUCAGUACAAAAGCUGAAAUAUCCCCAUAAGACGAGAAGACCCUGUGGAGCUUAAAACAAACCACUACGCCCUUAAUGGGUACUAGUAUAAUGUUUUAAGUUGGGGCGACUUCGGAACAAAACAAAACUUCCGAGCACGGAGACACCCCCCCUCCAACCACGGCCAACAAGCCAAAGCCAAAGACCCGACCCGGCCCCGCCGAACAACGAACCAAGUUACCCCAGGGAUAACAGCGCUAUCUUCUUCAAGAGUCCCUAUCGACAAGAAGGUUUACGACCUCGAUGUUGGAUCAGGACACCCAAAUGGUGCAGCCGCUAUUAAAGGUUCGUUUGUUCAACGAUUAAUAGUCCUACGUGAUCUGAGUUCCAGACCGGA